Molecule: ribosomal RNA, 253 nt
Filed under: uncultured bacterium
Lineage: Bacteria
Description: partial 16S ribosomal RNA
Rfam family: Bacterial small subunit ribosomal RNA
Source: RNAcentral
UACGUAGGGUGCAAGCGUUGUCCGGAAUUAUUGGGCGUAAAGAGCUCGUAGGCGGUUCGUCGCGUCGGCUGUGAAAACCUGAGGCUCAACCUCAGGCCUGCAGUCGAUACGGGCGGACUUGAGUACUGCAGGGGAGACUGGAAUUCCUGGUGUAGCGGUGAAAUGCGCAGAUAUCAGGAGGAACACCGGUGGCGAAGGCGGGUCUCUGGGCAGUAACUGACGCUGAGACGCGAAAGCGUGGGGAGCAAACAGG